CCUACGGGAGGCAGCAGUGGGGAAUCUUGCACAAUGGGGGAAACCCUGAUGCAGCGACGCCGCGUGAGUGAAGAAGUAUUUCGGUAUGUAAAGCUCUAUCAGCAGGGAAGAAAAAAGACGGUACCUGACUAAGAAGCCCCGGCUAACUACGUGCCAGCAGCCGCGGUAAUACGUAGGGGGCAAGCGUUAUCCGGAUUUACUGGGUGUAAAGGGAGCGUAGGCGGCUGUGCAAGUCUGAAGUGAAAGGCCAGGGCUCAACCCUGGGACUGCUUUGGAAACUGUGGAGCUAGAGUGCUGGAGAGGUAAGUGGAAUUCCUAGUGUAGCGGUGAAAUGCGUAGAUAUUAGGAGGAACACCAGUGGCGAAGGCGGCUUACUGGACAGUAACUGACGUUGAGGCUCGAAAGCGUGGGGAGCAAACAGGAUUAGAUACCCUGGUAGUC
This 441-nucleotide ribosomal RNA is filed under the name uncultured bacterium. RNAcentral's name for it is "partial 16S ribosomal RNA". It matches the Rfam family "Bacterial small subunit ribosomal RNA", at positions 338 to 795 of the family's 1533-position model. The record is from RNAcentral.